This is a long non-coding RNA of Mastomys coucha (southern multimammate mouse), 986 nucleotides long. RefSeq lists it as uncharacterized. Lineage: Eukaryota; Metazoa; Chordata; Mammalia; Rodentia; Muridae. The transcript has 6 exons. The record is from RefSeq and is a predicted model, not a curated record.
CAAACAGCGAAUACACGGCAGAGUGCAGCUCUCUCAGCACAAAAUGGUUUGUAUUCUCUGUGCUCAGGGUCGAGAGUUCUUAGUACAUACAUCAUUUGAGGCUUUCUGAGUUGAUCCCACAAAGUAACAUGCACCGGCCUCCUGACACAGAUGAAGAAGUGCAGCCAACCCAUGGCUGAGGAGGGUAGCCCCGCCAUGAGGUGAGCCCUUGGCUCCUAACUCCAGUGAACCCUGCAUUUCCCAAGAACUUUGUAGGAAUAAGUUCAUCAAUGUUCAUGACCCACAGUAGGAAUGAAAAUCCCUCUGUAUGCAUGCAUACAAUAUGAAGAUUCACAGCCUGAUGAAUUUUCUGGGCGAUGGACCACUGCAACUUUGUGACAUACAAAUUUGAAUUCUUGUACUUUCUGAUUUUCUUAUUCGUCACUGAAAAAGGAAAAAGCAAGAUGGAUGUCUGUAACUAAACAGCUGCUCCAGGACUUUGGUCCAGAAAUACAAGGCUCCACUGUCCAUCAAAGAUACAUUUUUGACCCAUGUUGGACGGAAGCAGGCUGGAGAGAGGAAACAUCACCCCAGCACAGCAGAGAGAGGGAGAGAAACCAGGAGCCUGUAUCUCUAAUGACAACGGGUAUGCAGAGACAGCCUGAUAAACACGGGUUCUCUAUGAUUCUUUCAAGACUGUGUUCUCUGACAAGAUAAAGUAAAUACUCGUUUGUGGGACUUUACAACUGCACAAGGCUACAGCUACUGUCCAAGGAAACUGGAAAAAAAAAAUUCUUAGGAUGAUGUGAAACUGAAACAAAAGAACAGAAGGAGACAGACAAUCAUGAACAAGCAUUUAACAGUACAUCAUGAUCCCACCUGUGUGUGUUUCCUCUGCCAUCAAGAAGUAAACAUGGUUAGCAAAUGUCCAAGUCUGUGACAAAACCUAUCACCAACAAAAGCCAAUGAAGUACAAGAAAAUUCCUGGUAAAUAAAAUUAUCACUCU